ACACGUAGGAGGCGAACGUUAUCCGGAUUUACUGGGCGUAAAGCGCGUGUAGGUGGUUCUGUAAGUAGGGCGUGAAAGCUCCUGGCUCAACUGGGAGAGGCCGUUCUAAACUGCAGAGCUAGAGGAUGGUAGAGGGAGGUGGAAUUCCGGGUGUAGCGGUGGAAUGCGCAGAUAUCCGGGGGAACACCAGUGGCGAAGGCGGCCUCCUGGACCAUUCCUGACACUCAGACGCGAAAGCUAGGGUAGCAAACGGGAUUAGAGACCCCGGUAGUCCUAGCCCUAAACGAUGUAGACUUGGCGUCGGUGGCUUAAUCGUCAUCGGUGUCGAAGCUAACGCGAUAAGUCUACCGCCUGGGGACUACGGCCGCAAGGUUAAA
RNAcentral lists this ribosomal RNA (377 nucleotides) under uncultured bacterium. RNAcentral's name for it is "bacterial SSU rRNA". It matches the Rfam family "Bacterial small subunit ribosomal RNA", at positions 523 to 898 of the family's 1533-position model. The record is from RNAcentral.